UGAAAUAUCAAUUCCAAAUGGACAGAGACGAGGUCUUUUAAGUGGAAAAACAUCCUGUUUUGGUGGCUGUACUUAGGUAACUAUGUUGAUUCACUUGCCAGUAAGAAAAUGCAGUGGCCAGCUCUGCUGGGGCCACCUGUUAAGGCUACUCUGGGCCUCACGGUUUGAGAAAGGUCUGUCCAGGGGAGAGUGGGAGUGGUUUAAGGGCCUAGAAGCCAGCUCUUGUGGUUCAAUGUGACGGCGGGUGUGGAGCUGGGGGCAGGGCUCUUCAGGGCAUGAGUGGGUAAAUGGAUGGGCUUCUAGGACGAGCCCCUGUGACUUUGCCAGGUUUACAUCCGUCCAAUACAAAUUUGCAGACGUGCUCUAGAAGCUUCUGCUGGGGCUGAUGGACAGGCCUGGUUUAGGCGGAGCAUUCAGUCACUUGGAUCAAGGAUUAUCUACGGCAGUAAGGGGGAGUCAUCAUAGUUGGAGCAGCAGCCACCUUCAUUCUAUGCUCAGCUCUAGGCGAAGGGUUUUGGAGCCUGUGGGUACCCUGUGUUCUCUCAGUUUAUCUGUAAAACAAGUUACAGAGUUAUAACUAGUUUAAACCUAUUUUUAAAAUGUUGACACUGGCGCCCCUCAAGGCUCGGCCUGUGGGACCCGUGCCGCUGUUUGCUUGUGUAACUCUGAGGUUCUGCAGACUUCAUGGUCCCACUGCAGAGUAUACGAUAACUGCUUGCAUCUGAUUUUCCCAAACCCCAGGACAGGCCAAGAAUUCGUUACACACAACUGCAGGGGCCCUGUGGUGUGGAUGUGCGGGUACCACAACCUUUCUGCUGCUCUCUGCCUUUCCCCAACUCGGCCUUCACCUCCAGAGUCGGCUUUAGGGUGGUAGAAGCUUCCCUCGACUGGGAGGCCCUGGAACUUCCGCGCUAGGAAUUCGGCGACCAGUCCAUAUAAUUCCCCUUUUCUUUGCAUUUGUAGCAAUAGUUUUAACAAUGUGACUAUAGAUCUACAGAGGAAGGAAAAAGGAGAUGGUUUUAUUUUCAGGGUAACAAUCUGUGGUGUGGGAAGUGCGGUCUUGGAGGAACCGUAUGCACAUGCACUCAGGAGGGGAGGAGGCCCUUCGAGGCAUUUAAACGCUCCGGGAUUUCUUAGCCUGCUGUGCGUGUUCAUGGGGUUCGUGGAAUGUCUAGCACACGCGCAGUGAGUUAACCUGUAACGUCCCAUGUUCUCCUUGGGGUGAGUGUAACAUUUGAAAUAAGGUGGACGCAGCGCAUCACAUCCGAAGGUGAGCUGUUGGACAGAGACACUUUAAUGCGCAGCCUCUGUAAACAGCUGGGACUGGCUCAGGGUCUGCGGCUUCUGAUGGGAAAGAAUGCUGUGAGGCCCUUCUGUCUAGUCUGGGCUGCAGGCAGGGUCCCAGGGUGGGGUGUCUGGUUGGCCGGAGUCAGGAAUCCACCAGUGGGCAGCAUUCCUCUGAAGCAGCUUCUGCCUGAUUGUGGGAGGAGACGUCAUGCUGGUUAACUGACCACACAGAAAUUACUGACGUGGGGGCUUGGGGCCAGCCCUCCCUGUGAUGCCUGCUUACAUUUCUCUCCUGGCCUCAUCAUAGCCAGAGGCCAUCUUGUCUGUAAGCAGGGGGUGCGAUGUUCACAUAGUAAUUUAUUGUAUUAACCUUUUUAUUACUAUUUUAGUAAGUCUUUUUUUUUUUUUUUUUUAAAGAGGUGGGGUCUUGCUGCAUUGCCCAGACUAGUCUUGAACUCCUGGCCUCAAGAAAUCUUCACACCUCAGCCUCCCAAACUUCUGGGCUUACAGUUGGAGCCACUGCACGCGGCCUGCAGCCGUGUUUUUAAAACUCAACAGUUAAAAACCCCACUUCUCCCACUCCCUCCAGCAGGCUCUUUGACCUUGCACAAACUGGGUGUCAUGACCUUGGCCCCCCUUUUAUUUUUCCCUUUGGCCUCAAGUUCUGAUGAGAACAGCAGUUACAAAAUGGGCACUAGUUGAUUCUUCUGUAAAUAAAGCCAGAAUUCUCACCAGUUAGAGAUGUUUGUCCAUGGGAGUCCAGAAAGCUGUUUUGAAUGAAGCCUGUAGCAAAUAAGUAAAGAACUAAACCCUUGGUCCUCUGCUUAGAGCUGAGAAAUGUGUUAGUUGCUGACACCCGUUAAUCUAUGCUCAUGUGAUGCAUCUCAUCAUGGGAAAUGGAGUUGCCUGUGGAAUCAAGCCUGGCUCAUGGUGGCAUGUUGGGGGAUGCUCUGGGCUGUCAGUCACUUAAAUGCCAGUAGACAUGGAAACUCAGCAUCGUGUGCAGAGCUUGGGCAACUGGAGUGGAUUCACUUUAGAGACCACACAGCUGGUGAGCAAGGUGGGCAUCCAGACAGAAGGCCCCGACGUGCCUGCCAUGCAGUGGUGAAUCAGAAACUCGUUAGCAACGAAGUGAAGCUCACCUGUGGGUCCCAGCUACUUGAGAGGCUGAGGCGGGAGGACUGCUUGAGCCAGAAGGUCAAGGUUGCGGUGAGCGAUGAUCAUACUGCUGCACUCCAGCCUCGAUGACAGAGCAAGGCUCUGACUUACAAAAUUAAGUAAGCUAAACGUUUCUCUCCAUAGCAGGAAGGAUAAUUUAUCAAAGUAAUUGCAACAGAAAUCCUAGAUGAUGUAAUUUCAGCGCUAAGGGAGCUGUCCAGCCUUUGUGGCGAAGGGAGCUGCCGAGCCUACAUGGCUCAGAGAAGCAGUAACGGGCCAAGUGCUGGUGCCGCUGCCCUCCCAUCCUGAUUGUUUUAACUGUUUAGGAUCUGUUUCCUGCCUUUUCUGUUUUCCUGUAUCUCCCUUUUGGAUAGUAGUUAGGGAUACGUAGUUUGCUACUUUAUAGCUAAGCAUCAGUAAAAUAGGUUGUCAUUUUGAGAAUUAACCACUGUGCUUUUGUGUAUUUUAAGGGCAGAAAACAAAGGAAGCAGGUGACAGGAGUGAAUAGAUUUAGAUGAAUAUCUAACACUCAGCACCACUCUGAUGCCUUCUUUCUCUCUUGUGCUUAAUUACAGCCGCCUCCUCUUAGGACAGAACACUUUAAGCUCUGUGAGUAGGAAUUAAACGUUUAUUUUUAAAAUCAGAAGUUGUAGUUAAACAGUAUUUUAUGUGAAUAUCCAGUCUGUAAGUCUUCCCUUGUACUGGUGUGUGGUAUAGAGGAAGGAACGGAGGCUCAGUCACUUAGAUGCCAGCAGACAUGGAAACUCAGCAUUGUGUGCAGAGCUUGGGCAACUGGAGUUGGCUGGGUCUAUGGCAUGGUAUCCUGGUUCCCAUCUGUGAGAUGGAGGUCACGAGGUGGCCUAGGAGAAGGUUCAGUUUGUGGGAUUUAACGGACCUGCCCUGCUCCUUGGGAGCCUCGAGUCUAACUUGGCUUUGGCAGGUUUUAGGGAGAUGCCGGCAGUGCCAUGGGAGCCUCAAGUCUAACUCCGGCAGGUUUUAGGGAGACACCGGCAGUGCCAUCCUCACAGGGCAUCAGGAGGGGCUCUGGUGCCAUCCCCGUCAAGUGUGUCAUGAUCAGCUCAGCUUGCCCAUCUUAGAAGCCACUGGUAGUGUUCUCAUGCCUGUUGUUUCUUGCAUGUUAUUUAGGCUCUGUUCAUGUGGACGCCUAGGAAGUUCCACAGUGAGAGGAGAGCUUUUUGAGCUGCCUUCCUGCCUGGAUGCCAGCCCCACAGAGAACCCUAGCUGCUCAAGGUUGGCCUCUGGCCCUGCCUCACCCGUGGAAGCAUUGAUGAAGUGGGACUUUUUAAGCACACAGUGCCAUUGUGUGGAUCCCCAGGACACUGUGGUGUCCAAGCAUGUGUUCCUGCAGGACGGGACCCUACAGGCGCUGUUGCUGGGAGCUGGCCGAGACGCGCCUGUGACGUGCACAGCUUCUCUCUGCACAGCAGCUCCUGACUCCAAGAUGACUGGGCGGGAAAUGUACAGAGCGCAUCUCCAGCAAAAAGCCGUCGAUUGCCUUCAUCCCGAUAUCCACCACCAUGGCUUUUGUGUUAAUAAGAUGAAUUUGAGCAGUAGAUGGUCUGAGUUCUGGGUGUGCAGGACUGUGCCAUUGCAUUUUUGUUCUCAUGUCUUGAUUAAAGGUGUGAACGGCUCCUGAUUAGGUAAGGUUGCUGUGACCAGGGGCUCUGCAGUAUUGUGACUUGAGGGAACAAGGAGGUUUUCUUUCUCGCAAACCCUUCAGGGGGGACAUUCUAGGCUGGUGACUGCUCCAUGAGGUAUUCAGGGAUCCAGCUUCUGGAAGGGAAGCAAGUGGUAUAGCCAGGAUUGCCUCGCGCUCCAGGCUGUCUCCAGCUUCAGCCUCCCUGGGGUAGAAGCUGCCCCACCAGGGGCCUGGACGUGGAUGUUAGGGCCUGGGGCCAGGGACAGCUACUGAAGGGGGGCUUCAGUCACCGCUGGGUGUGGAAACCGAGGAUGGAAGGUGGAACCAGCCUUAGGCCAGUGCACAGCCUCCCGGGAGUGCUUGUGGGAAGCCCCAGCCACCCUUGGCUGACCCCAAAGCCAGCAUCAAACUCUUCAAGAUUCCCGUGGCCCACCCCUCAGGUUCCUAAAAUGGUUAGGAUUUCCUGGGCUGCAAAUUUUUAGGUCUAGGCUAAAAAGUCCUAGAACAGGCCCACAGGGUUCUUUAUUUGUAAAAACAAAUAAUGAGUGUGCAGUAACUCAGAGCAGUCACUGUGUCCUCACUGCAGGGUCCUUUACGUCAGGUAGAAACAAGUGUGCGAUAACUCAGCAGUCACUGCGUCCUCACUGCAGGGUCCUUUACGUCAGGUAGAAACGAGCGUGCGGUAACUCAGCAGUCACUGCGUCCUCGCUGCAGGGUCCUUUAUGUCAGGUAGAAACGAGCGUGCGGUAACUCAGCAGUCACUGUGUCCUCGCUGCAGGGUCCUUUACGUCGGGUAGAAACGAGUGUGCGAUAACUCAGCAGUCACUGUGUCCUCACUGCAGGGUCCUUUACGUCAGGUAGAAACGAGCGUGCGGUAACUCAGCAGUCACUGCGUCCUCGCUGCAGGGUCCUUUACGUCGGGUAGAAAUGAGCGUGCGGUUACUCGGCAGUCACUGCAUCCUCACUCCAGGCACUGUUCUUUCGUUUCUUAAUUAAAAGCCUUGGGUAAUGAAAACCAUGUUCUCCCCAGAGAGUAGAGUUUCCGGUUACAGAAGCUCACCUGUAAAUGCAGUGCCAGGUUAAAUGCACUGAAAUCCAGGCCAGGCCUUGCUCCCUGCCCACAGCCAAGGUGGGUACUUCAUUUGGAGGUGACCCAGAGGGACGUCUGAGAGGCCUGCCUGUCCGAGGGAGAUGAAGCUGCUGGCCCUCAUGCUCUGCCUCUGGCCUCCAUCAGCUCCUUCCAGCCUGCAAAUUGCCUGCUUUUACAUUGCCUUCAUUGGAAAUAUGUUAGAGAGUUAGGCUGGAGGGACCCCCAUGGAGCCAGCAGAUUGUGAAAAGGUGAGAACCAGAGUUGGGAGGGUGGUGACCACUGCUAAACUGAGAACAGAGGUGGGCUGGAAGGCCCAUCUUCUGUCUAAAGCGUUUUUUAAAGUAAAAACAUAGUGCCUCAGGAGCAUGAGGGCAAGUCACUGUUGCAGAGAACUUACCUACACAAGGCCCAUCUGAUGAAUGCUGUGAUCCCAAACUUGCAAGGAGCUUGUAUAACUCAACAAUAAAAAAUGAACAACCUGGUUAAAAAUGGACCAAAGACCCGGACAGAUACCCCAACAAAGAAGAUACACAGAUGGCAAAUCUACAAGCGAAAAGGCGGCCACGUCGUAUAGCACAGGGUGACGUGCCAUUGCACAGCCAGCAGCGUGGCCAAAACCGGAACUCUGACACCGCUGAGUGCCAGUGGGCAUGUGGGGCAUCAGGACCCUCACUUGGGCAGUUGCUGGGGAACACAGCGUGGCAGUUUCCCGUGGAACCAAGCCCUCUGACCACAGGAGCAAUCACACUCCUGGACGUUUGCUCAGAGGAGCUGAAUGUUUACGUCCAUGCGGAAAUUUGCACACAGAUGUUGAUGGCGGCCUUAUUUAUAAUUGCCCAAACUUGUAAGCAGCUAAGAUGCCCUUCAACAAGCAAAUGGAUAAACUGUGGUAUGUCA
This is a long non-coding RNA of Sapajus apella (tufted capuchin), 6092 nucleotides long. RefSeq lists it as uncharacterized. The transcript is spliced from 2 exons. NCBI's taxonomy places the organism in Eukaryota, Metazoa, Chordata, Mammalia, Primates, Cebidae. The record is from RefSeq and is a predicted model, not a curated record.